Molecule: long non-coding RNA, 504 nt
Organism: Homo sapiens (human)
Lineage: Eukaryota; Metazoa; Chordata; Mammalia; Primates; Hominidae
Source: Ensembl
AUUGAGCUAAACUUGGGAUGCUAGAAAAGACAAUCCCUUUUCUGGAUUAGGAAGUUUACAUUUUAAAGAUGCAAGAAGGCACUAAACAAGGGCAGUGAGGUACAACAAGCUCUGUGGUUUUAUUUCUCCUAAAUGGGAGGAAACAUAGAGAGGAAGAAAAGUAUGCAAUCUCAGUUGCAAAUGGAGGCAGGGGCUCACCAUGUUCUCUGAUACGAUUGUACCGCCCAUUGGUAAGAAUCAGAGGCUGAAAAGAUUCUGUUACUGAAACUCAACACUUAGUUGAUACCUGCUACAACUUUAACUACUCGUUGACUGUUUACGGCUUUUGCUGUAAGUUGGAGUAUGGUGACAAACACACAAAAAAUUGUCAACCGCAGAUGUAGCCAUGAAGUAUUAUGAGCGAGUAAUAGCAAGGGCUUUGCUGUCCUCUCUCUCCACUGUUGUUUCAAACAAACACAAAAUCAACAGCAUAUGCAAUCUCAAUAAAAUAACAUAGAGAUGUGA